UUCGUCUCUAUACGUGGCUUCGAGUACAAAGGGUUUAAUUCUUCCUGAAGCGAAAUCCAAGGCAUUGCAGCAGGGAGCCCUGACGCUCUUAAUGUGCUACACACGGAUGGCCAGAUAUGGACCAUCAGUCUGGUUCGACCCACAUUUCAUACAUGGGACCACCUCCUUGAAUACAACUGUCAAUAUCUGGGUCUCGGCAUGGAUGGAUCCAUGAUGCGAAAAUAGCAGUGGUGGUUUGAUGAUCCAAUGGUCUCCGCCAUGACCUUCAGCCGAUGUAAAAUUCAUCUAAAUGGACGGACGGGAGCAGAGCUGGGCCCCACCUAUUUACAACCCUAUUUGCUAUAUGGAACUUGAGGGAGCAGGAUCUCGGAUGCUUCCUGACCUGAAAACCAGGUGUCACAAGACGUACAAUGUAGGGAUCACCUGAUGAACGGUUCAGAUCUCCCUCGUGGGGCGAGCUCGAGUAGUUAUCCUAGCUCGAUAUGAAACUGCACUUCAGAAUAGCAACUACAGUCCUGAUGUGUAAUAAAGUGUAUGGUUUACAGAGCAACUCACUUGGAUAUGGUUCACGGAACAAACACGUUCCAGAUCGUUAUAUGCUAGCCAUCAGAUCUUUGACCUU
Long non-coding RNA from Magnolia sinica, 622 nucleotides. RefSeq lists it as uncharacterized. Lineage: Eukaryota; Viridiplantae; Streptophyta; Magnoliopsida; Magnoliales; Magnoliaceae. The record is from RefSeq and is a predicted model, not a curated record. The transcript has 2 exons.